RNAcentral lists this ribosomal RNA (510 nucleotides) under uncultured bacterium. RNAcentral's name for it is "partial 16S ribosomal RNA". It matches the Rfam family "Bacterial small subunit ribosomal RNA", at positions 28 to 507 of the family's 1533-position model. The record is from RNAcentral.
GACGAACGCUGGCGGCGUGCUUAACACAUGCAAGUCGAACGAAGAGCGAUGGAAGCUUGCUUCUAUCAAUCUUAGUGGCGAACGGGUGAGUAACGCGUAAUCAACCUGCCCUGCAGAGGGGGACAACAGUUGGAAACGACUGCUAAUACCGCAUACGAUCUAAUCUCGGCAUCGAGGAUAGAUGAAAGGUGGCCUCUACAUGUAAGCUAUCACUGAAGGAGGGGAUUGCGUCUGAUUAGCUAGUUGGAGGGGUAACGGCCCACCAAGGCGAUGAUCAGUAGCCGGUCUGAGAGGAUGAACGGCCACAUUGGGACUGAGACACGGCCCAGACUCCUACGGGAGGCAGCAGUGGGGAAUCUUCCGCAAUGGACGAAAGUCUGACGGAGCAACGCCGCGUGAGUGAUGACGGCCUUCGGGUUGUAAAGCUCUGUUAAUCGGGACGAAAGGCCUUCUUGCGAACAGUUAGAAGGAUUGACGGUACCGGAAUAGAAAGCCACGGCUAACUACGUG